UCUUAUUCCUUUGGGAAGGACGAUGGGCUU
RNAcentral lists this non-coding RNA (30 nucleotides) under Callithrix jacchus (white-tufted-ear marmoset). The record is from RNAcentral. RNAcentral also lists the same sequence under 1 other name. Lineage: Eukaryota; Metazoa; Chordata; Mammalia; Primates; Cebidae.